This 347-nucleotide ribosomal RNA is filed under the name uncultured bacterium. Its description in RNAcentral is "bacterial SSU rRNA". It matches the Rfam family "Bacterial small subunit ribosomal RNA", at positions 917 to 1267 of the family's 1533-position model. The record is from RNAcentral.
GGGCCCGCACAAGCGGUGGAGCAUGUGGUUUAAUUCGAUGAUACGCGAGGAACCUUACCAGGGCUUAAAUGGGAGAUGACAGGGGCAGAGACGCCCUUUUCUUCGGACAUCUUUCAAGGUGCUGCAUGGUUGUCGUCAGCUCGUGCCGUGAGGUGUCAGGUUAAGUCCUAUAACGAGCGCAACCCCUACCGUUAGUUGCCAGCGAUUCAAGUCGGGGACUCUAACGGGACUGCCGGUGCAAACCGUGAGGAAGGUGGGGACGACGUCAAAUCAUCACGGCCCUUACGUCCUGGCUACACACGUGCUACAAUGGUCGGUACAGAGGGAAGCUACUAUGCGAAUAGGAG